CCUCUGAUAGCUCAGUGGCAGAGCGCGGGGAGGAUAUGGGCGGUAGCACUGGAUUUAUCCCCGAGGCCGCUGGUUCGAGUCCAGCUUAGAGGA
Peniophora sp. CONT is the source of this 93-nucleotide non-coding RNA. The record is from the annotation of a GenBank genome assembly. NCBI's taxonomy places the organism in Eukaryota, Fungi, Basidiomycota, Agaricomycetes, Russulales, Peniophoraceae.